CCGACUGAGGGGCUUGGUUUCGCGGAGCCUCCUCUAGGCCAGCAGAGGAUCCGCCCACCCAUGAGUCAGAGGAUUUUGCGAGGUCUACUAGAAUGACAGCUCAAACCUGUCCACGUCAACACCAGAGAACCACUAUGGAGAUCGCGUCUUUGGAACCCUCGCUGUACACAGUGAAAGCGGUCUUCAUUCUGGAUAACGAUGGCGAUAGACUUCUAUCAAAGUACUACGACACAGAGCUCUACCCCUCCAUGAAGGAGCAGAAGAACUUUGAAAAGAACGUUUUCAACAAGACACACAAAGCUGACACAGAUGAAAUUGCCUUCGUGGAGGGGAUGACGAUCGUGUAUAAGUGCAGCAUCGACCUAUUCUUCUACGUGGUGGGCAGUGCACAGGAGAAUGAGCUCAUGCUCAUGGCUGUGCUGAACUGUCUGUUUGAGUCCCUCAGUCAAAUCCUAAGGAAAAAUGUGGAGAGAAGGUGUCUAUUGGACAACAUGGACGGAGUCUUCUUGGUAGUGGACGAAAUUAUUGACGGGGGGGAUGGAGUUGGGAGUUACUGGUACACUAUCUUGUGUUCUCUUAAUGACCGCCCUUACCGUCGUGUUACCAGGGUGAUCUUGGAAAGCGACCCCCAACAGGUCAUCCAGAAGGUCAAUUACAGGCUGGAUGGUUCAGAGCAAGCCUACGGCUUCGACCUCUUUGAUUACAUCGUUGGUAACAUUGAUGGACAGACGGACAGAAGCCAGUGUGCAUAGCAACAGACUGCCCCUACAACCAGAGAUGACGGGCGGAUGAGAACCCACUGUCAGAGCAGAGCGUGGCUCAGAUAAUGCAGUCUGCCAAAGAACAAAUAAAGUGGUCAAUACUCAAAUGAUCUACACUGCCUGUCCAAAGGUCUUACAGUAAUGGACAGUACGAAUUUAUGUGUAAAUAUUAAGGGGUGUAUUUAGCGUUUAUGCUUAAAUAGACUAUAUUUAUAGUAAUUAGUGGCAAAUACAGCGUUUUUCCUAUGACGGCAAGAAGACAUUUUAUAUUUAUUAUAUUGGAAAUAAUCUGUUUAAUUUAUUUGAUUUGCAAUAAAAAAAUCUGAAGAAUUAUGCUAGAUUAUAGCAUAUGAUUUUGUUAAUUUCCCUUAACCCACACAAAAUGCUCUGUAAAGAAUGUUUUAACCUAACCAAGAGAACUGAAUGUUGUUUUAAUGUGCGCAGGCCUACACAACUAGGGGAACUGUUGCUUAGGCUUCAAUGAUUAUGAAGUUAAGUUACAGAGAACUUUAAACAUGACGUUUUGAUAUACUACAUCUCAAAGCGUUGUAAGUUUAACAGAAAAAAAGGCAAUAGCCUGUGUAUUGUUACAGUAGUUCAGUUUCUAGUUGUUAGUUUUGUUGAUUUAUAUUGCCAUCUGUUUUCUCAUUCGAGUCUGCCUGUUGUCAAGCUAAUUAAACUAUAUUAUUUGUA
RNA transcript from Salvelinus namaycush (lake trout), 1454 nucleotides. It is a transcript of the gene named coatomer subunit zeta-1-like, with no coding region annotated. The transcript is spliced from 10 exons. Lineage: Eukaryota; Metazoa; Chordata; Actinopteri; Salmoniformes; Salmonidae. The record is from RefSeq and is a predicted model, not a curated record.